GAUGAAGAACGUAGUGAAAUGCGAUAAGUAAUGUGAAUUGCAGAAUUCAGUGAAUCAUCGAAUCUUUGAACGCACAUUGCGCCACCUGGUAUUCCGGGGGGCAUGCCUGUCCGAGCGUCAUUACAACCCUCAAGCUCAGCUUGGUGUUGGGCCCCGCCGCCCCGGCGGGCCCUAAAGUCAGUGGCGGUGCCGUCCGGCUCCGAGCGUAGUAAUUCUUCUCGCUCUGGAGGUCCGGUCGUGUGCUCGCCAGCAACCCCCAAUUUUUUUCAGGUUGACCUCGGAUCAGGUAGGGAUACCCGCUGAACUUAAGCAUAUCAAUAAGCGGAGGA
RNAcentral lists this unclassified non-coding RNA (329 nucleotides) under soil metagenome. RNAcentral's name for it is "partial contains 5.8S ribosomal RNA, internal transcribed spacer 2, and large subunit ribosomal RNA". The stretch from base 1 to 120 matches the Rfam family "5.8S ribosomal RNA", at positions 35 to 154 of the family's 154-position model. The record is from RNAcentral.